This 374-nucleotide ribosomal RNA is filed under the name uncultured bacterium. RNAcentral's name for it is "bacterial SSU rRNA". It matches the Rfam family "Bacterial small subunit ribosomal RNA", at positions 525 to 896 of the family's 1533-position model. The record is from RNAcentral.
ACGUAGGGCGCAAGCGUUAUCCGGAAUUAUUGGGCGUAAAGAGCUCGUAGGCGGUUUGUCGCGUCUGCUGUGAAAGCCCGGGGCUCAACCCCGGGUCUGCAGUGGGUACGGGCAGACUAGAGUGCAGUAGGGGAGACUGGAAUUCCUGGUGUAGCUGUGAAAUGCGCAGAUAUCAGGAGGAACACCGAUGGCGAAGGCAGGUCUCUGGGCUGUAACUGACGCUGAGGAGCGAAAGCAUGGGGAGCGAACAGGAUUAGAUACCCUGGUAGUCCAUGCCGUAAACGUUGGGCACUAGGUGUGGGGGACAUUCCACGUUUUCCGCGCCGUAGCUAACGCAUUAAGUGCCCCGCCUGGGGAGUACGGCCGCAAGGCUG